UACAGAGGUGGCAAGCGUUGUUCGGAAUUACUGGGCGUAAAGAGCGCGCAGGCGGUCGACCAAGUCGCGUGUGAAAGCCCCCGGCUCAACUGGGGAGGGUCACGCGAUACUGAUCGACUCGAAGGCAGGAGAGGGUAGUGGAAUUCCCGGUGUAGUGGUGAAAUGCGUAGAUAUCGGGAGGAACACCAGUGGCGAAGGCGACUACCUGGCCUGUUCUUGACGCUGAGGCGCGAAAGCUAGGGGAGCAAACGGG
Molecule: ribosomal RNA, 253 nt
Filed under: uncultured bacterium
Lineage: Bacteria
Description: partial 16S ribosomal RNA
Rfam family: Bacterial small subunit ribosomal RNA
Source: RNAcentral